AGAGUUUGAUCAUGGCUCAGAAUCAACGCUGGCGGCGCGCCUAACACAUGCAAGUCGAACGAGAAAGUGGAGCAAUCCAUGAGUACAGUGGCGUACGGGUGAGUAACACGUGGGUAAUCUACCUUUUAGUGAGGAAUAACCGAGGGAAACUUUGGCUAAUACCGCAUAAGCCUGAGAAGGGAAAGCAGAAAUGCGCUGAAAGAGGAGCCCGCGGCCGAUUAGCUAGUUGGUAGGGUAAGAGCCUACCAAGGCAGAGAUCGGUAGCCGGCCUGAGAGGGCACACGGCCACACUGGCACUGAAACACGGGCCAGACUCCUACGGGAGGCAGCAGUGGGGAAUCUUGCACAAUGGGGGAAACCCUGAUGCAGCGACGCCGCGUGAGCGAUGAAGCCCUUCGGGGUGUAAAGCUCUUUCGUCAGGGAAGAUAGUGACGGUACCUGGAGAAGCAGCUGCGGCUAACUACGUGCCAGCAGCCACGGUAAUACGUAGGCAGCAAGCGUUGUUCGGAGUUACUGGGCGUAAAGGGUGUGUAGGCGGUUCCUUAAGUUUGCUGUGAAAUCUCCCGGCUUAACCGGGAGGGUGCGGUGAAUACUGAGGGACUAGAGUACGGGAGAGGAAAGUGGAAUUCCUGGUGUAGCGGUGAAAUGCGUAGAUAUCAGGAGGAACACCGGUGGUGUAGACGGCUUUCUGGACCGUAACUGACGCUGAGACACGAAAGCGUGGGUAGCAAACAGGAUUAGAUACCCUAGUAGUCC
Molecule: ribosomal RNA, 756 nt
Filed under: uncultured bacterium
Lineage: Bacteria
Description: bacterial SSU rRNA
Rfam family: Bacterial small subunit ribosomal RNA
Source: RNAcentral